This 336-nucleotide long non-coding RNA is filed under the name Manihot esculenta (cassava). RNAcentral describes it as "long non-coding RNA (MESC_LNC013007)". The record is from RNAcentral. Lineage: Eukaryota; Viridiplantae; Streptophyta; Magnoliopsida; Malpighiales; Euphorbiaceae.
GAGAAUGGAGAUUUUGUGUAGUGAGUCGUCUCUUUUCUGAUAGGGCUGUUAACUUUGAUGCUUUCCAACAUACAAUGGCCAUUGCUUGGAGACCUGAUCCUGGGAUGUUUGUCAAAGAACUGGACAAUAAUGUUUUCAUUUUUUAGUUUUUCCAUGCCUACGACAUUACAAAGGUUUUGAAUGAUGGUCCAUGAACUACCUAAUUAGGAGUAAAUUACGUAAUCAUAGAGAUUUGUAUAACUAACAGAUCUGAUAUAUAUUAUUUUGUGUACAUGUUUAUUUUAUUUCCUUAGAAUAGGCUAAAAUUUUAAAAAUAAAAGGCUAAAAUUUUCUUUA